AUCAUUUUGGCAGAAAUAAGUGCAGUUGAUUUAGGAUCAGCAUAUAUAAAAAAUUUUAUUUUAUAAUUGAUA
This 72-nucleotide transfer RNA is filed under the name Campeloma geniculum. Its description in RNAcentral is "tRNA-Leu". The record is from RNAcentral. Lineage: Eukaryota; Metazoa; Mollusca; Gastropoda; Architaenioglossa; Viviparidae.